UUGCACACACCGCCCGUCGUUCCACCCGAGCGACUCCUGGGUGAGGCGUGGUCCUAAGUGGCUGCGUCGAAUCCAGGUUUCGUGAGGGGGGAAAAGUCGUAACAAGGUGGCCGUAGGGGAACCUGCGGCCGGAUCACCUCCU
RNAcentral lists this ribosomal RNA (142 nucleotides) under Candidatus Bathyarchaeota archaeon. RNAcentral describes it as "partial 16S ribosomal RNA". It matches the Rfam family "Archaeal small subunit ribosomal RNA", at positions 1337 to 1478 of the family's 1478-position model. Lineage: Archaea; Thermoproteati; Candidatus Bathyarchaeota. The record is from RNAcentral.